RNAcentral lists this ribosomal RNA (328 nucleotides) under uncultured eukaryote. RNAcentral's name for it is "partial 18S ribosomal RNA". It matches the Rfam family "Eukaryotic small subunit ribosomal RNA", at positions 1470 to 1796 of the family's 1831-position model. The record is from RNAcentral.
CCCUUAGAUGUCCUGGGCCGCACGCGCGUUACACUGAUGCAUUCAACGAGCUUAUAACCUUGGCCGAGAGGCCUGGGCAAUCUUGUUAACGUGCAUCGUGAUAGGGAUAGAUUAUUGAAAUUAUUAAUCUUGAACGAGGAAUUCCUAGUAAACGCAGAUCAUCAAUCUGCAUUGAUUACGUCCCUGCCCUUUGUACACACCGCCCGUCGCACCUACCGAUUGGAUGGUCCGGUGAAGCCUCGGGACUGUGGUUCUUGCCGCUUUGUUGUGGCGUGACCGCGAGAACUUGUCUAAACCUUAUCAUCUAGAGGAAGGUGAAGUCGUAACA